Molecule: ribosomal RNA, 917 nt
Filed under: Conocybe sp.
Lineage: Eukaryota; Fungi; Basidiomycota; Agaricomycetes; Agaricales; Bolbitiaceae
Description: partial large subunit ribosomal RNA
Rfam family: Eukaryotic large subunit ribosomal RNA
Source: RNAcentral
CUAAGCAUAUCAAUAAGCGGAGGAAAAGAAACUAACAAGGAUUCCCCUAGUAACUGCGAGUGAAGCGGGAAAAGCUCAAAUUUAAAAUCUGGCGGUCUUUGGCCGUCCGAGUUGUAAUCUAGAGAAGUGUUAUCCGCGUUGGACCGUGUACAAGUCUCCUGGAAUGGAGCAUCAUAGAGGGUGAGAAUCCCGUCUUUGACACGGACUACCAGUGCUUUGUGAUGCGCUCUCAAAGAGUCGAGUUGUUUGGGAAUGCAGCUCUAAAUGGGUGGUAAAUUCCAUCUAAAGCUAAAUAUUGGCGAGAGACCGAUAGCGAACAAGUACCGUGAGGGAAAGAUGAAAAGAACUUUGGAAAGAGAGUUAAACAGUACGUGAAAUUGCUGAAAGGGAAACGCUUGAAGUCAGUCACGUUGGCUAGAAAUCAACCUUGCUUUUGCUGGGCGUACUUUCUGGUCAACGGGUCAGCAUCAAUUUUGACCAUUGGAAAAAGUUCAGAGGAAUGUGGCAUCUUCGGGUGUGUUAUAGCCUCUGUUCGCAUACAAUGGUUGGGAUUGAGGAUCUCAGCACGCCGCAAGGCCGGGUUUCGACUACGUUCGUGCUUAGGAUGCUGGCAUAAUGGCUUUAAUCGACCCGUCUUGAAACACGGACCAAGGAGUCUAACAUGCCUGCGAGUGUUUGGGUGGAAAACCCGAGCGCGUAAUGAAAGUGAAAGUUGAGAUCCCUGUCGUGGGGAGCAUCGACGCCCGGACCAGACCUUUUGUGACGGAUCCGCGGUAGAGCAUGUAUGUUGGGACCCGAAAGAUGGUGAACUAUGCCUGAAUAGGGUGAAGCCAGAGGAAACUCUGGUGGAGGCUCGUAGCGAUUCUGACGUGCAAAUCGAUCGUCAAAUUUGGGUAUAGGGGCGAAAGACUAAUCGA